This 345-nucleotide ribosomal RNA is filed under the name uncultured soil bacterium. RNAcentral describes it as "bacterial SSU rRNA". It matches the Rfam family "Bacterial small subunit ribosomal RNA", at positions 26 to 367 of the family's 1533-position model. The record is from RNAcentral.
AGAACGAACGCUGGCGGCGUGUUUAAGACAUGCAAGUCGCACGGAACCAAAUUGGUAGUAAUACUCGUUUGGUUCAGUGGCGCACGGGUGAGUAACACGUGAAUUACAUGCCCUUCAGUGGUGAAUAGCCCAGGGAAACUUGGAUUAAUACCCCAUGGUAUCGCAAGAUUAAAGGUGGCCAGCAAUGGCUGUCGCUGAAGGAUUGGUUCGCGCCCUAUCAGCUUGUGGUGAGGUAACGGCUACACCAAGGCUACGACGGGUACCUGGCCUGAGACUGACGAUCGAGGCACACUGGAACUGAGACACGGUCAGACACGUACGGGUGCAGCAGUCGAAGAAUAAUUC